UUUCUAGAAAAUUUCUCCACAAACUGAGAGCUCCAGAAUUGAUGACUCAGAGUGAACCGAGGAGAUCACUACUGUGCACAAGUUUGCCUCCAAACAACUGGGUGAUGCCUCCAAACAGACCUGGAAUCAUCCAUUUCUCCAAGGAUCUCUGCUUCUUCUUGUAAAAUAGGCUAUUUAAGGACUACAAUCUGAGCAUUAAGGGACUGUCCUUAUUAGAAGAGGAAACUUGGACACAGAUACACACAGAGGGAGCACCGUGUGAAGACACAGAGAGGAGAUGGCCAGCUACCAGCCAAGCAGAGAGCCCUUACUGUAAACCAACCCUGCCGCAUCCUGAUCUCAGAAUUUUGGCUUCCAGAACUUUCCAGCUACUAGGGAGGCUGAAGCAAGAGAAUGGCAUGAACCUGGGAGGCGGAGCUUGUCGUGAGCCCAGAUCAGGCCACUGCACUCCAGCCGGGGCAACAGAGCGCAACUCCGUCUCAAAACAAACAAACAAAACAAAACAAAAAAAACUUAUAGACAAGUACAAAAUGAGAAGAAAAAGUCCCUUUCCCUUCAUGCCUCUACUUCCUGCUGUAUUCUCAAAGAACUAUCAUAGGAACAUACUGGGAAAACCAAAAGAAUUCACGGAUCCUUUGAAAGAAGACGCACACCACUGUAAAUUCUGUGGAACAGGAGAAAAACUGUCUUGGAGGAAGGCAUCCUUCUAUUCUACUGAUCAGAAAGCUGGACAAAGUCCCACUGCCAGGCUACACAGUUGGUGCCAUUUGCGGAGGUGACCUUUGACCUUUAACCCACGCGGCCACCCGCCCGAGCUCUUACCCCUGCUGCCCCUCGCGCGUCCCACUCCCCGUCCCUGCCGGAUCCGCUUCCCUGCGCUGGGCCCAGCGCGCCGCCAGGGAAGGGGCCGGAGCCUGGGAGCCCGCCCCGCCGUCGCCCGUCCUCCGCCCGCAGGCCCACCCGCAGCGGUCACGUGAAGGACCGAGCGCCGCGCGCCCAGGCGGGGCCUCCGGCCUGCACGAGGAGGGCAGAGUCCGUUGCGGCUGCCGCCCCGACGCCCGCGCAUCCCCGCUCGCCGCGCCCGCCGCCGCGAUGUCCGGGGCCGGCCUAGCCGCGGUGGUGAGCUGCCUGCGCCCGCAGCCCGGCGAGGAGCCGCAGACCCAUGAGGACCUUCUCCUGGCAGCUGCCUAUGUUUUGGAUGCCCAGUACAACAGAAAUGUUCCAUUUGAAACUCACCUCAGGCCAUCAGACGUUACUAUUUUUAUAACCACUAGACAACGCAGGUUGCCGCAUACUUCUUUAUUUGUGUAGACCUCGCUCUUGCCCUGUUUGAAGAGUCUGAGUUGCUUCCCCUGCCUUUCUUGGCCACCUCAAUAGCAGAAGUACUCUGCCUGACUGCAUACUUUGGCAGACUGGUACAUUUUGCAAAAGUCACUCCUCAAAUGGUUUUCUGGAAGGAUACAAAAGACAUCUGCACCAUGGUAACCACAGUGGCGAGUGUUCAUUGUAGUACCUGUAAGAGUUUAUGACCGAAGGCAGGAGCCAUGAAGAAAAAAGACUCAAUAGAUUUGCUUUUGAUGAAACAACAACACUUCCAUACAGUGAACGCCAUAAGCACAACUGCAAGCAAACCCCAAACUGAAGAACAAAUAGGGCAAAAUGUGGCAGUGCAGACAUUUCAGCAUAUCAAGAGCACUUCCAAAUUACAGGAAAAAAAAGAUAUCUCAAUAGAUAAUUUUGCUGAAGAUAAGUGAAGGCAACUCAUAAGGAAAAAAUAUGUAAAAUGGCCGAUAGGAAAGAUGUUUAACGUCACUAAUUAAAAAUUAUAGAAUAAAACGACAAUAAAAUACCA
RNAcentral lists this long non-coding RNA (1852 nucleotides) under Homo sapiens (human). Its description in RNAcentral is "non-protein coding lnc-LIMS3-2:1". The record is from RNAcentral. Lineage: Eukaryota; Metazoa; Chordata; Mammalia; Primates; Hominidae.